UUCGCGUUCUGCGGAGCCGGCGCCCGGCGCCCGGGCAAAGGGAUGCGAGGGAUGCGAGGGAUGGGGGAGCUCCCCUUGGCCUCCAUGUUCGUUCCCCGGGGAGAUUUUAUCGUCUUGGGGAGACGCCGGUGCUGUGGUAAAGCUUAAGGCUCAAAGCAGAGUCACCUGUGACGGGGCCAGCCCGCCCCUCUGUCACCACCCUGUUUUCUGAGAUUUCUGUCCUUUCAUUGCCGAUGGAAAGCAACGGAGAGAUGUGGGGAAAAGAACAGCCGAUUGUGUGAAAAACCCAGUGCCUGCAAAAAGGGACAUUGGCCAUCCAGGCGAAGGUGCGCAAGGGAGAGCACUAAUCGCUGAACCAGGAGACAAAUACGAUUACCAGCUCCGAGCCUUGAGUCAGAAAGUCUCAUAGACUUUAAGAUGUUAAUCCCCAACAUAAUCCUUCCUUUGGCGUGUAGGAAUAGUGCAGCCACAAGAGUUGUUUUGUUAUUUAUAUUGGCGUUUAAUAAAACUCAGCCAGUGGUGAAUGGGCUGCCCACUCUCCAAUGGUAAUUAAUUCCCUAUUUCAGUGACCCAAUUGUGCUGGGAUAGAGCAGUGGGACAGUCCCACUGCCCCAACCCGCCUUUGUGCAGCUACACGGCUCUCGUGCUUCAACAGCUAUGGAAACUCAUUCUUUUGAUGUCAUUCAAUGAGUUUUCCUUGGGCAUCUUCUAAACUUCAAGGACCCUUUUCUUUCUCGAACGCCUGAAAAGCAGGACUAGCUUGACCACCUCUGUAGAAUUUAAUGAUUUGG
Neopelma chrysocephalum (saffron-crested tyrant-manakin) is the source of this 791-nucleotide long non-coding RNA. RefSeq lists it as uncharacterized. The record is from RefSeq and is a predicted model, not a curated record. NCBI's taxonomy places the organism in Eukaryota, Metazoa, Chordata, Aves, Passeriformes, Pipridae. The transcript is spliced from 3 exons.